This 929-nucleotide long non-coding RNA is filed under the name Ornithorhynchus anatinus (platypus). RNAcentral's name for it is "lncRNA (ENSOANG00000049336.1)". The record is from RNAcentral. Lineage: Eukaryota; Metazoa; Chordata; Mammalia; Monotremata; Ornithorhynchidae.
CGUCACUUCUGUGCCUCAGUUACUUCUGUGGGCCUCAGUUGCCUCAUCUGUCAAAUGGGGAUGAAGACUGUGAGCCCCAUGAGGGACAGGGAUUGUGCCCGACCUGAUUUGCUCACGUCCACCCCGAUGCUUAGUGUGAAGUAAGUGUUUAACGAACACCGCAGUUAGUAUUGUUAAGUGGCAGUGGUGGGAGGGGAACCCACGUCUUCUGCCUCUUUAUAUUAGGUCACGCCGCUUCCCCGAAGAUUGGAAUCCACGGCAGGGCAAGUAGCCCUCCCGGGGCCCCGGCACCGUUUAAUCCCGCCAACGAUUUGGGUGGUAGCAGGCACGGAGCACCGAGAUAUAAGAGAAUGAGAAGGAAAAGACUAUAAACUCGUCGCGGGCAGGGAACGUGUCUGUUUAUUGUUAUAUUGUACUCUUCCCAGCGUGUAGGACAGUGCUCUGUGCACAAAAAGCGCCCAAUAAAUACGACUGAAUGAAUGAAUGAGUGAUAUCCUGAAUCUCAAAGUGAGCCCUCAUCUCUCUGUUUCAGUUUUAGAUGCUCAUCGAGACUUAUCCUUUCCUGGAUUGGUGAACUAGUUGCCGAGGAAUCCGUCGUUCCCGGGCCAGAGCUCUGAAAGUCGCUACUGAGGCAGCCCAGAAAGAAGAGAAGCUGUCUCAGUUACGUCUCCAGAGAAGGACAGGGGACUCUCCAAGCAUUUGAGGAUUGAUUUUUCUCUCAAAGUCCAGCGGACCUGGGAGCAUUUCAGCAGUAGCUUGCUCAAGGUGGCACGACUGGAGUUGAGAAGACAUGAGCGAAUCAGAACAGCCAACCUGCCACACCUUGGAUUCCGAUCGGAAGGUCAAGGGACAAUUGAAAGGAUGUGGUUUCUAAAGCGAGGACAUCCCAGUCUGAUGAACUCCACCCCCGAGCUGUAAAAAUGAGACUA